GACGAACGCUGGCGGCGUGCCUAAUACAUGCAAGUGGGACGCAAGGGAACACACUGUGCUUGCACACCGUGUUUUCUUGAGUCGCGAACGGGUGAGUAACGCGUAGGUAACCUGCCUAUUAGCGGGGGAUAACUAUUGGAAACGAUAGCUAAUACCGCAUAAUAUUAAUUAUUGCAUGAUAAUUGAUUGAAAGAUGCAAGCGCAUCACUUGUAGAUGGACCUGCGUUGUAUUAGCUAGUUGGUAAGGUAAGAGCUUACCAAGGCGACGAUACAUAGCCGACCUGAGAGGGUGAUCGGCCACACUGGGACUGAGACACGGCCCAGACUCCUACGGGAGGCAGCAGUAGGGAAUCUUCGGCAAUGGACGAAAGUCUGACCGAGCAACGCCGCGUGAGUGAAGAAGGUUUUCGGAUCGUAAAGCUCUGUUGUAAGUCAAGAACGUGUGUGAGAGUGGAAAGUUCACACAGGACGUAGCUACCAGAAAG
Molecule: ribosomal RNA, 485 nt
Filed under: Streptococcus mutans
Lineage: Bacteria; Bacillati; Bacillota; Bacilli; Lactobacillales; Streptococcaceae
Description: bacterial SSU rRNA
Rfam family: Bacterial small subunit ribosomal RNA
Source: RNAcentral